Molecule: ribosomal RNA, 253 nt
Filed under: uncultured bacterium
Lineage: Bacteria
Description: partial 16S ribosomal RNA
Rfam family: Bacterial small subunit ribosomal RNA
Source: RNAcentral
GACGUAGGGUGCAGGCGUUAAUCGGAAUUACUGGGCGUAAAGCGUGCGCAGGCGGUUUCUUAAGUCAGAUGUGAAAGCCCCGGGCUUAACCUGGGAACUGCGUUUGAAACUGGGAGACUUGAGUGUGGCAGAGGGGGGUGGAAUUCCACGUGUAGCAGUGAAAUGCGUAGAUAUGUGGAGGAACACCGAUGGCGAAGGCAGCCCCCUGGGUUAACACUGACGCUCAUGCACGAAAGAGUGGGGAGCAAACAGG